GGCAUGCCUAAUACAUGCAAGUCGAACGGUAACAGGUCGCUGUGAUCCCUUCGGGGUGAACUUGAUGCUGACGAGUGGCGGACGGGUGAGUAAUGCUUGGGAAUCUGCCCAGUAGUGGGGGACAACACGGGGAAACUCGAGCUAAUGCCGCAUACGCUCUACGGAGGAAAGCAGGGGAUCUUCGGACCUUGCACUAUUGGAUGAGCCUAAGUCGGAUUAGCUUGUUGGUGAGGUAAAGGCUCACCAAGGCGACGAUCCGUAGCUGGUCUGAGAGGACGAUCAGCCACACUGGGACUGAGACACGGCCCAGACUCCUACGGGAGGCAGCAGUGGGGAAUAUUGGACAAUGGGGGCAACCCUGAUCCAGCAAUGCCGCGUGUGUGAAGAAGGCCUGCGGGUUGUAAAGCACUUUCAGUAGAGAAGAAAAGCCUAGGGUUAAUACCCCUGAGUCUUGACGUUACCUACAGAAGAAGCUCCGGCUAACUCCGUG
RNAcentral lists this ribosomal RNA (490 nucleotides) under uncultured bacterium. RNAcentral's name for it is "bacterial SSU rRNA". It matches the Rfam family "Bacterial small subunit ribosomal RNA", at positions 41 to 507 of the family's 1533-position model. The record is from RNAcentral.